AUGAAGGAAGGGACAUCGCAUUCCAGAACAAGAUCCGCCAUCCCGUCUCAAGAGAACAUCCAAAACAUUAACGUGCGCAUCAAUGGCGCCUCCUCGCGCGUUCGCUUGUACGACAAAAAAAUACAUCCAUCAAGCUCCCAUCGCUCGUCCCCGUCUUUAAUGUGUCGAAGUAAAAAAAAAUUAGCGAUGGAUCCCUUCCUUCCCUUGGAAGGUAGCCUCUACUUUUCUUUUGGCCCACAUCGUCACAUCAGCUCUCGCACGCAACCUCCAAAGCCUCCGCCGCCGCCGCCGCCGCCGCCUCAGCCAUUUCUCUCGUCUUCUCCUCCCUGUUCCCCUGCCCUAGCCUAUCUCUAG
RNAcentral lists this ribosomal RNA (354 nucleotides) under Triticum aestivum (bread wheat). RNAcentral's name for it is "partial small subunit ribosomal RNA". Lineage: Eukaryota; Viridiplantae; Streptophyta; Magnoliopsida; Poales; Poaceae. The record is from RNAcentral.